RNAcentral lists this ribosomal RNA (774 nucleotides) under Staphylococcus pasteuri. RNAcentral describes it as "bacterial SSU rRNA". It matches the Rfam family "Bacterial small subunit ribosomal RNA", at positions 24 to 780 of the family's 1533-position model. The record is from RNAcentral. Lineage: Bacteria; Bacillati; Bacillota; Bacilli; Caryophanales; Staphylococcaceae.
UCAGGAUGAACGCUGGCGGCGUGCCUAAUACAUGCAAGUCGAGCGAACAGAUAAGGAGCUUGCUCCUUUGACGUUAGCGGCGGACGGGUGAGUAACACGUGGAUAACCUACCUAUAAGACUGGGAUAACUUCGGGAAACCGGAGCUAAUACCGGAUAAGAUUUUGAACCGCAUGGUUCAAUAGUGAAAGACGGCCUUGCUGUCACUUAUAGAUGGAUCCGCGCCGUAUUAGCUAGUUGGUAAGGUAACGGCUUACCAAGGCAACGAUACGUAGCCGACCUGAGAGGGUGAUCGGCCACACUGGAACUGAGACACGGUCCAGACUCCUACGGGAGGCAGCAGUAGGGAAUCUUCCGCAAUGGGCGAAAGCCUGACGGAGCAACGCCGCGUGAGUGAUGAAGGUCUUCGGAUCGUAAAACUCUGUUAUCAGGGAAGAACAAACGUGUAAGUAACUGUGCACGUCUUGACGGUACCUGAUCAGAAAGCCACGGCUAACUACGUGCCAGCAGCCGCGGUAAUACGUAGGUGGCAAGCGUUAUCCGGAAUUAUUGGGCGUAAAGCGCGCGUAGGCGGUUUUUUAAGUCUGAUGUGAAAGCCCACGGCUCAACCGUGGAGGGUCAUUGGAAACUGGAAAACUUGAGUGCAGAAGAGGAAAGUGGAAUUCCAUGUGUAGCGGUGAAAUGCGCAGAGAUAUGGAGGAACACCAGUGGCGAAGGCGACUUUCUGGUCUGUAACUGACGCUGAUGUGCGAAAGCGUGGGGAUCAAACAGGAUUA